UCGGGCUCAGGCUCGGGCUUUUUUCGAGGGAGAUGCUUGAAGAAUGCUUUUACAGCUCCAUCAACACCAUCCUCAUUCUCCAUGUCUUUGGCAAGCUCCACCGCGCGCUCCUUCACCUGACAUGUUAAAUUCAUCGGCUAGUAUAUGUCCAGUGAUUUGACAUUACCUUGGGAUCUAGCAUGAAAUGUAUCGCCUCAACCAACUUGGUAAGUGAGAACUCAUCAACAGGUAUGGGUGGAGGACCUACUCCUCUCGCAUGCAACCGCUCACCCCAGAAGGGUUGGUCACCAAAGAAAGGCACAAUGGUUGUAGGGCACUACAUUCACGAAAGAAGAAGGAUAAAGAAAAAAGACAUAAAGGACAGGAUACAGAAAUCUACAAUACAAACAAGCCGCAGCUAUUACCGCAGCUUUAAGACCAGCAGCUGUUGUUCCAGCACCUCCAUGAUGAACCUACAGCAAAGUGCAAGCUAACAACAAUGGGACAACAAGAUUGACAAAGGAAACACAAAAAUUGAAGAACCCAAUCAACAUCAUCAUCAACUACUCAAACUUUUCACCUCCCAACUCUUUCGCAUUUUAUAGAUUUUGAUGAGUGACAGUUGUUUCUCAAGUAUUAUAUCCAACUGACAAAAGCUGAAAAAUUAAGCCUUACCACUGCCUUGCAUUGCAAGAAUAGCCA
Molecule: long non-coding RNA, 681 nt
Organism: Populus trichocarpa (black cottonwood)
Lineage: Eukaryota; Viridiplantae; Streptophyta; Magnoliopsida; Malpighiales; Salicaceae
Exons: 2
Source: RefSeq, a predicted model, not a curated record